RNAcentral lists this long non-coding RNA (945 nucleotides) under Homo sapiens (human). RNAcentral's name for it is "HSALNT0329270". Lineage: Eukaryota; Metazoa; Chordata; Mammalia; Primates; Hominidae. The record is from RNAcentral.
ACUGUGAAUAAUCAUACCCAUGCCUCUGCUGACAUGAAAUGCCAAGCGUUAGUGCUUUGGUUCUCAGACAGCUUUAAGUCUAAGAAUGAAAGUUUUAAUUGAAGAAUGUGCUACAAAAUGCUCUACUUGCUGCGGCGAUGCUAUUAUAAGGUACAGGGUUUUUUUUGUUUGUUUGUUUGUCUCUCUCUAGAACUGGAAGCUACUCCUGUACUUAAGGCCAGGAUUUUAGAAAGGAGCCAUGAGAAGAAUGAUUCAGACUAAAGGUGAGAAGGUAAAGAAAGCAAGAGUUUAUUUAACAGCUCUUCUUUUUUUUUCCUCUUUUUUAUUUCUUCCCUCAAAAAUAUGUUCUCUUGGUGAUAUUUUAGUUUGUGUUAUCCAGAGACCUACAACAAUCUGAUGAAAAUUUGUAGAAACUAGAGAAAAUAAUGACGAAUAGGUCAACACCCACCCUUAAAUUCACAUAGAAAGUAAAUGAUUUAGGAAAAAUAGUUGCAACUGCUAUCAUAUAUAAGGUCUUCAUCACAUGAAUAAACUCUUAGAACUUGAUUUAAAAAAUAUCAACAAUCCAAUAGAAAUAUGGGCAACAAACAUGAACAAACAUUCCUUUAAUACAAAUAAAUAUAAAUGUUAAGAUGUUCAAUCUCAUUCAUAAAAAGAAUAGUGCAAAUUAUAGUUGCACUGAGAUACUCUUUCUCACCAAUCAUCAGAUUGGCAAAAAUCUCAAAGACUAGCAACACAUUCUGUUUGUGAAGAUGUGGGGGAACAAUCUCGUCAAUUGCUGAUGUGAUGACAGUGCAAAAUGGUCCCUAGAAAGGGUGUAUUUGUUUUCUGUUGCCGCUGUAAUAAAUGACCACAACUUCAGAGGCUUGAAACAAGACCAACUUAUAAUCUUGUAGUUCUGUGUAUCAAAAGUCCAACACAGGUCUUGCUGGGCAGGGCUGCUUU